ACCAAUGCUUGAUAUAAAUUUUGAGAUGAAUUAUAUCACAUAUACACUACUACUUAUACUCUUGGCACUGAGAAUUCUUAUUUAAGUUCUGGGGUACAUGUGUAGGAUGUGCAGGUUUGUUACAUAGGUAAAGUGUGCCAUAGUGAUUUGCUAUACUUCUCAACCCAUGGCCUAGGUACUAAGCCCAGCAUGCAUUAGCUAUUAUUCCUGAUGCUCUCCCCACCCCCUCACCCUUUCCUGAUAAGCCCCAGUGUGUGCUCUUCCCAUCUGUUUGAGUUCUUUGUAAAUUCUGGAUAUCAGCCCUUUGUCAGAUGGGUAUACUGCAAAAAUUUUUUCCCAUUCUGUUGGUUGCCGAUCCACUCUAGUGACUGUUUCUUUUGCCGUGCAGAAGCUGUGGAGUUUCAUUAGGUCCCAUUUGUCUAUUUUGGCUUUUGUUGCCAAUGCUUUUGGUGUUUUGUUCAUGAAGUCCUUGCCUACUCCUAUGUCCUGGAUAGUUUUGCCUAGAUUUUCUUCUAGGGCUUUUAUGGUGCCAGGUCUUAUGUUUAAGUCUUUAAUCCAUCUGGAGUUAAUUUUAGUGUAAGGUGUCAGGAAGGGGUCCAGCUUCUGCUUUCUGCACAUGGCUAGCCAGUUUUCCCAACACCAUUUGUUAAACAUGGAAUCCUUUCCCCAUUGCUUGUUUUUGUCAGGUUUAUCAAAGAUUGUAUAGUUGUAUGUAUGUUGUGUUGCCUCCGGUGCCUCUGUUUUGUUCCAUUGGUCUAUAUCUCUGUUUUGGUACCAAUACCAUGCUGUUUUGAUUAUUGUAGCCUUGUAGUAUAGUUUGAAAUCCGGUAGUGUGAUGCCCCCCGCUGUGUUCUUUUUGCUUAGAAUUGACUUGGCUAUGCGGGCUCUCUUUUGGUUCCAUAUGAAGUUCAUGGUGGUUUUUUCCAGUUCUGUGAAGAAAGUCAGUGGUAGCUUGAUGGGGAUAGCAUUGAUUCUGUAAAUUACUUUGGGCAGUAUAGCCAUUUUCACGAUAUUAAUUCUUCCUAACCAUGAACAUGGAAUGUUUCUCCAUGUGUUUGUGUCCUCUCUGAUUUCGUUGAGCAGUGGUUUGUAGUUCUCCUUGAAGAGGUCUCUUACGUUCCUUGUGAGUUGUAUUCCAAGGUAUUUUAUUCUUUUUGUAGCAAUUGCGAAUGGUAGUUCGCUCUUGAUUUGGCUUUCUUUAAGUCUGUUAUUGGUGUAGACGAAUGCUUGUGAUUUUUGCACAUUGAUUUUAUAUCCUGAGACUUUGCUGAAGUUGCUUAUCAGUUUCAGGAGUUUUUGGGCUGAGGCAAUGGGGUCUUUUAGGUAUACUAUCAUGUCGUCUGCAAAUAGAGACAAUUUGGCUUCCAGCUUUCCUAUUUGAAUACCCUUUAUUUCUUUUUCUUGCGUGAUUGCUCUGGCUAAAACUUCCAGUACUAUAUUGAAUAGGAGUGGUGAAAGAGGGCAUCCUUGUCUAGUGCCAGAUUACAAAGGGAAUGCUUCCAGUUUUUGCCCAUUCAGUAUGAUAUUGGCUGUUGGUUUGUCAUAAAUAGCUUUUAUUACUUUGAGAUAUGUUCCAUCGAUACCGAGUUUAUUGAGGGUUUUUAGCAUAAAGGGCUGUUGAAUUUUGUCAAAUGCCUUCUCUGCGUCAAUUGAGAUAAUCAUGUGGUUUUUGUUUUUGCUUCUGUUUAUGUGGUGAAUUACAUUUAUAGACUUGCGUAUGUUGAACCAGCCUUGCAUCCCCGGGAUGAAUCCUACUUGAUCAUGAUGAAUAAGUUUUUUGAUUUGCUGUUGCAAUCGGCUUGCCAAUAUUUUAUUGAAGAUUUUUGCAUCUAUGUUCAUCAUGGAUAUUGGCCUCAAGUUUUCUUUUCUUGUUGGGUCUCUGCCGGGUUUUGGUAUCAGAAUGAUAUUGGUCUCAUAAAAUGAUUUGGGAAGGAUUCCCUCUUUUUGGAUUGUUUGAAAUAGUUUUAGAAGAAAUGGUGCCAGCUCUUCCUUGUGUGUCUGGUAGAAUUCGGCUGUGAACCCAUCUGGACCUGGGCUUUUUUUGUGUGGUAGGCUCUUAAUUGCUGCCUCAACUUCAGACCUUGUUAUUGGUCUAUUCAUAGUUUCAGCUUCCUCCUGGUUUAGGCUUGGGAGGACACAGGAAUCCAGGAUUUUGUCCAUUUCUUCCAGGUUUACUAGUUUAUGCGCAUAGAGUUGUUUGUAAUAUUCUCUGAUGAUGGUUUGAAUUUCUGUGGAAUCUGUGGUGAUUUCCCCUUUAUCAUUUUUAUUGCAUCUAUUUGGUUGUUCUCUCUUUUAUUUUUAAUCAAUCUGGCUAGUGGUCUGUCUAUUUUGUUGAUCUUUUAAAAAAACCAGCUCUUGGAUUUAUUGAUUUUUUGAAGGGUUUUUCGUGUCUCAAUCUCCUU
Long non-coding RNA from Callithrix jacchus (white-tufted-ear marmoset), 2402 nucleotides. The record is from Ensembl. NCBI's taxonomy places the organism in Eukaryota, Metazoa, Chordata, Mammalia, Primates, Cebidae.